Molecule: ribosomal RNA, 341 nt
Filed under: Auricularia aff. auricula-judae 218-233
Lineage: Eukaryota; Fungi; Basidiomycota; Agaricomycetes; Auriculariales; Auriculariaceae
Description: eukaryotic LSU rRNA
Rfam family: 5.8S ribosomal RNA (bases 1-105)
Source: RNAcentral
GAAAUGCGAUAAGUAAUGUGAAUUGCAGAAUUCAGUGAAUCAUCGAAUCUUUGAACGCAUCUUGCGCUCCUUGGUAUUCCAUGGAGCAUGCCUGUUUGAGUGUCACGUAAACCCUCACCCUUGCGAUGUAACAGUCGCYCGUGGUGGACUUGGACUGUGCCGUAACYGGCUCGUCUUGAAAUGCAUUAGCUGGCGCUUUUAGAGUGCUGGGCGACGGUGUGAUAAUUAUCUGCGCCAAUGCCUURGGCCUCUUCAGCGGUGCUGCUUACAGCCGUCCCUCUGUGGACACRUUSUUUUWAAGCUUUGGCCUCAAAUCAGGUAGGACUACCCGCUGAACUUAA